This 1018-nucleotide long non-coding RNA is filed under the name Capra hircus (goat). RNAcentral describes it as "lncRNA (ENSCHIG00010006588.1)". Lineage: Eukaryota; Metazoa; Chordata; Mammalia; Artiodactyla; Bovidae. The record is from RNAcentral.
AUGAAAGGAGAAAUGAGAAUAGACACAACUGAGGUUUAGAAAUAAGAGUGGAGAAUGUCUUAACAGAAGGAGACGAGAGAGUACACUCCAGGCGUAGGACAUGACGUGACCAAAACCUGGGGGUGGGCAUAUUUGGGAGACGACAAGGAAUCAGUCUGAGUAGACGAAGCUGGGGAUAUCUGUUUAUACUGUGAAAUAAUUCUGGCUGGAGAGUCCAGGUCCUAAUGGUGACCCUUGGAAGCUGACGUUAUUCUGAGUAGGGCCUGAACAGGGUUGUGGAAAUCGAACUCUAGAAAACAACAGUGGGAGAAGAAUACAUCUAGACUGGAAAGUGACUAGAAGUGUGUGUGGGGAUGGGAGAGGUGUCAGACUGCUGCCAAGGAGUGAAGUCAGGAGUCACUGGAUUGUCUGUUAGGAGAUGCACGGUAAUCAUCAAAGUUAACAGUUUCAGAUGGUGAUUAGACUGCAAAGGGGAUAUAAAGAAAUUGGUUGAAGGGUUGAAUAAUUGUAACUUACUUCUUUACUGUUUCCAAAGCAUUUUUCACCUUAUUUUUGACAUAGGCAGGUAAGAAAGACUGUAACUUGUCUAAGCCACAUGAGCCAAAAGAACUGAAGUCAAUUUCUCUAAUCAAAAAAAGAAAUUCAGUCAGUUAUUUGAAAACAUCAGUUAAGUAAGGACUCAAAACAACGUGACUCACGUAAAAGAUUUUUCUUUCACUGGGCUAUCCCUGCCUGGAUUUCAUUCUGUAUUUGGUGAGUUCACUAUUUUGUGAGUCCAGGUUACGUGAAGAACAUGAGAGAAAAAAACUAGAGACUGGCAUGCCCAGUUUCUCUUGGAGCUCGAGAAAAGGCAUAUGACCUGGGCUCUGUCAACCAGGCAAGCAGGCACAGAGGCAGACUCAGAGUUCACGAUAUGAAAGGGGAAGAAGGGAGCUCACUUUCUCUUCAGUGGUGGCAACAGAGGUCGCGGCCCCUUGGCUGAGUACCUGAUACACAGAUAGCUUCAGCGAUUGUGGGC